This 604-nucleotide ribosomal RNA is filed under the name uncultured bacterium. Its description in RNAcentral is "bacterial SSU rRNA". The stretch from base 1 to 520 matches the Rfam family "Bacterial small subunit ribosomal RNA", at positions 338 to 873 of the family's 1533-position model. The record is from RNAcentral.
CCUACGGGAGGCAGCAGUGGGGAAUAUUGGGCAAUGGAGGAAACUCUGACCCAGCGACGCCGCGUGCGGGAUGAAGGCCUUCGGGUUGUAAACCGCUUUCAGCAGGGAAGAAGCGAAAGUGACGGUACCUGCAGAAGAAGCACCGGCUAACUAUGUGCCAGCAGCCGCGGUAAUACAUAGGGUGCAAGCGUUGUCCGGAAUUAUUGGGCGUAAAGAGCUCGUAGGUGGUUCGUCACGUCGGAUGUGAAAAUCUGGGGCUUAACCCCAGACCUGCAUUCGAUACGGGCGAGCUUGAGUAUGGUAGGGGAGUCUGGAAUUCCUGGUGUAGCGGUGGAAUGCGCAGAUAUCAGGAGGAACACCAAUGGCGAAGGCAGGACUCUGGGCCAUUACUGACACUGAGGAGCGAAAGCGUGGGGAGCGAACAGGAUUAGAUACCCUGGUAGUCCACGCCGUAAACGGUGGGCACUAGUUGUGGGGACCUUCCACGGUCUCUGCGACGCNGCUACGCAUAGUGCCCGCCGUCGGGAGGUACGAGUCGCGAGAGUAAACGUACGAAGUUAAGUUAGUAGCGUUGAGACGNGCGAGGACGACGACGAGGGAGAGG